AAUAGUCUAACGACUGAACCAGCAACUUGGAAGAAUGUAUAACGGAUAAGUCGUAUAAAAUUCUAGAUAAAGACAAUAUAAUGAAAAAUCUUUAUCUAUAAGUCUUGGCCAAAUUACGUGCCAGCAGUCGCGGUAAUACGUAAAAGACUAGUGUUAUUCAUCUUUAAUAGGUUUAUAGGGUACCUAGACUGAAAACCAAGCCUUAAUAGGGACUAGUUUUCUAGAGUUUUAUGUGAGAAAGUUGAACGAUCAGAGGAGAGUCAAAAUUCGUUAAUACUGGUAAGACGGACCACGGCGAAGGCUGUUUUCUAUGUAAAAACUGACGUUGAGGUACGAAGCCCAGGGUAGCAAGAAGGAUUAGAUACCCUAGUAGUCCUGGGAGAAAAUUAUGAGUGCCAUAGAUUAGAUAUAUAAUUAAUCUAUAAAUGAAAGUGUAAGCAUUCCACCUCAUGAGUAAAGCGGCAACGCCCAAAUUGAAAUCAUUAGACCGUUUCUGAAACCAGUAGUGAAGUAUGUUAUUUAAUUCGAUGACCCGCGAAAAACCUUACCACACUUUGAAUAUUGUUCAAUUUUUACAAGCGCUGCACGGCUGUCUUCAGUUGAUAUCGUGAGAUUUUGGUUAAUUCCUUUAAUUAACGAAAACCCUUGUUUUAUUUUUUUUAAUAAAACGGUUCACCAUUUAUACAGGAGAAGAUAAUAGGGACCAAGACAAGUCAUUAUGGCCUUAAUAGU
This 732-nucleotide ribosomal RNA is filed under the name Lichenodiplis lecanorae. RNAcentral describes it as "bacterial SSU rRNA". It matches the Rfam family "Bacterial small subunit ribosomal RNA", at positions 370 to 1208 of the family's 1533-position model. The record is from RNAcentral. Lineage: Eukaryota; Fungi; Ascomycota; Eurotiomycetes; Verrucariales; Verrucariaceae.